RNAcentral lists this ribosomal RNA (253 nucleotides) under uncultured bacterium. Its description in RNAcentral is "partial 16S ribosomal RNA". It matches the Rfam family "Bacterial small subunit ribosomal RNA", at positions 524 to 776 of the family's 1533-position model. The record is from RNAcentral.
UACGUAGGGUGCGAGCGUUAAUCGGAAUUACUGGGCGUAAGGCGUGCGCAGGCGGUUUUGUAAGUCAGAUGUGAAAUCCCCCGGCUUAACCUGGGAACUGCGUUUGAAACUACAAGGCUUGAGUGUAGCCGAGGGGGGUGGAAUUCCACGUGUAGCAGUGAAAUGCGUAGAGAUGUGGAGGAACACCGAUGGCGAAGGCAGCCCCCUGGGUUAACACUGACGCUCAGGCACGAGAGCGUGGGGAGCAAACAGG